RNAcentral lists this unclassified non-coding RNA (327 nucleotides) under soil metagenome. Its description in RNAcentral is "partial contains 5.8S ribosomal RNA, internal transcribed spacer 2, and large subunit ribosomal RNA". The stretch from base 1 to 120 matches the Rfam family "5.8S ribosomal RNA", at positions 35 to 154 of the family's 154-position model. The record is from RNAcentral.
GAUGAAGAACGUAGCGAAAUGCGAUAAGUAAUGUGAAUUGCAGAAUUCAGUGAAUCAUCGAAUCUUUGAACGCACAUUGCGCCCCUUGGUAUUCCGAGGGGCAUGCCUGUUCGAGCGUCAUUAUCACCCCUCAAGCUUUGCUUGGUGUUGGGGCCUGCUGUAAUAGGCAGCCCUUAAAAUCAGUGGCGGUGCUUCAAGGCUCUAAGCGUAGUAAUUCUCCUCGCUAUAGUGUCUAGUGGUUGCCAGCCAGAACCCCCCAAUUCUCAUGAUUGACCUCGGAUCAGGUAGGGAUACCCGCUGAACUUAAGCAUAUCAAUAAGCGGAGGA